GUGGCGUGUGCGGUCAGGAGGCCAGAGCUUCGAGCGAUCCAGGCUGCGGCUCCGCUGAGGGGCCGGCUGUGUGAGCCAGGGAUCCGCGGGGCUGAGGGACGCUCAGGAGCGGCGAGGCUCGCGGCCCGAAGGAUGGGCCGAUGGAAGAAACAUGACAUCUAGAGGCAGCAGACUUGUUUCAGAUUCAUGCCUUAUCAGUUCUUAGGUUUGUGUAUUGGAAUCAAAUGAAAAGUAUAACAGAAUCCUGCCCUUUUUAAAACUAAGUCACAGGAGCAUCCCUUGCAAGAUGUCCGCACUAAGGAUCUGGCUAAUGCAAGCUUUGCUUAUUUUCCUCACUACUGAGUCUAUAGGUCAACUUGUGGAACCAUGUGGUUAUAUCUACCCUGAGUUUCCA
This 394-nucleotide long non-coding RNA is filed under the name Rattus norvegicus (Norway rat). Its description in RNAcentral is "long non-coding RNA NONRATT015018". The record is from RNAcentral. Lineage: Eukaryota; Metazoa; Chordata; Mammalia; Rodentia; Muridae.